This 481-nucleotide ribosomal RNA is filed under the name uncultured bacterium. RNAcentral's name for it is "partial 16S ribosomal RNA". It matches the Rfam family "Bacterial small subunit ribosomal RNA", at positions 28 to 507 of the family's 1533-position model. The record is from RNAcentral.
GACGAACGUUGGCGGCGUGCUUAAUACAUGCAAGUCAACUGAAGCAGUGGUAGCAAUAUCGCUGUGGAGGUGGCGCACGGGUGAGUAACACGUAGGUAAUCUGCCUUCAGGUCUGGCAUAACUCCGGGAAACCGGGGCUAAUAGCAGAUGAUGCAGCGGCUCGACAUCGAGACAGUUGUUAAAGCUAUGGCGCCUGAAGAUGAGCCUGCGUCUGAUUAGCUAGUUGGCGGGGUAACGGCCCACCAAGGCAACGAUCAGUAGCUGGUCUGAGAGGAUGAUCAGCCACACUGGAACUGAGACACGGGCCAGACUCCUACGGGAGGCAGCAGUAAGGAAUAUUGCUCAAUGGGAGAAAUCCUGAAGCAGCAACGCCGCGUGAGGGACGAAGGGCUUUUGCUUGUAAACCUCUGUAGUGAGAGAAAAAAAUCCCAAUCUUUGGGACAUGAUGGUAUCUCAAAAGUAAGCCCCGGCUAACUACGUG